This 519-nucleotide unclassified non-coding RNA is filed under the name Hevea brasiliensis (rubber tree). The record is from RNAcentral. Lineage: Eukaryota; Viridiplantae; Streptophyta; Magnoliopsida; Malpighiales; Euphorbiaceae.
CUUUGACAAGAUAGCCGCAAAGGGAAGGCUAAAAGAGGAUGAGGCAAGGAAAUAUUUCCAGCAACUUAUAAAUGCUGUAGAUUACUGCCAUAGUAGAGGCGUCUACCAUCGAGAUCUGAAGCCUGAAAAUCUUCUUCUGGAUUCACAUGAUGUUCUUAAAGUGUCAGAUUUUGGAUUGAGUGCAUUUUCGCAGCAAGUGCGAGGGGAUGGUCUUCUUCACACUGCCUGUGGGACACCAAACUACGUAGCUCCUGAGGUCUUCAAUGAUAAAGGUUAUGAUGGUACAUCAUCAGAUAUUUGGUCAUGCGGGGUUAUUCUCUUUGUUCUUAUGGCUGGCUUCUUGCCUUUUGACGAGCCAAAUCUAAUGUGUUUGUACAGAAAAAUUUCAAAUGCUGAUUUUUCCUUUCCAUCAUGGUUCUCAAGUGGUGCAAGAAAACUAGUUUGCCGCAUUCUUGAUCCAGACCCUAUUAAUCGAAUAACAAUAGCCGAAAUUCAAGAAGAUCCAUGGUUCAAGAAGGG